RNAcentral lists this ribosomal RNA (477 nucleotides) under Candidatus Scalindua brodae. RNAcentral's name for it is "bacterial SSU rRNA". It matches the Rfam family "Bacterial small subunit ribosomal RNA", at positions 365 to 832 of the family's 1533-position model. The record is from RNAcentral. Lineage: Bacteria; Pseudomonadati; Planctomycetota; Candidatus Brocadiia; Candidatus Brocadiales; Candidatus Scalinduaceae.
UUCGCAAUGCCCGAAAGGGUGACGAAGCGACGCCGCGUGGGUGAGGAAGGCCCUCGGGUUGUAAAGCCCUGUCAGGAGUUAAGAAGUGUAGAUACGCUAAUAUCGUAUCUAUUUGACAAAGGCUCCAAAGGAAGCCACGGCUAACUCUGUGCCAGCAGCCGCGGUAAUACAGAGGUUGCAAGCGUUGUUCGGAAUUAUUGGGCGUAAAGAGCACGUAGGUGGAUUUGUAAGUCAGAUGUGAAAGCCUUCUGUUCAACGGAAGAAUUGCAUCUGAAACUACAAACCUUGAGUAUAGGAGGGGAGAAUGGAACUUCUGGUGGAGCGGUGAAAUGCGUAGAUAUCAGAAGGAACGCCGGCGGCGAAAGCGAUUCUCUGGCCUAUUACUGACACUCAGUGUGCGAAAGCUAGGGGAGCAAACGGGAUUAGAUACCCCGGUAGUCCUAGCCGUAAACGAUGGGCACUAAGUAGAGGGGUUUU